RNAcentral lists this ribosomal RNA (436 nucleotides) under uncultured fungus. RNAcentral's name for it is "eukaryotic LSU rRNA". It matches the Rfam family "Eukaryotic large subunit ribosomal RNA", at positions 1 to 432 of the family's 3401-position model. The record is from RNAcentral. Lineage: Eukaryota; Fungi.
GACCUCAAAUCAGGUAGGACUACCCGCUGAACUUAAGCAUAUCAAUAAGCGGAGGAAAAGAAACUAACAAGGAUUCCCUAGUAACUGCGAGUGAAGAGGGAAAAGCUCAAAUUUAAAAUCUGUCAGUCUUUGGCUGACCGAGUUGUAAAUUAGAGAAGUGCUAUCUGCGCUGGCCUGUGCAAAAGUCUCUUGGAAAAGAGCAUCAUAGAGGGUGACAAUCCCGUCUUUGGUACAGAGCUCCAGGGCUUCAUGAUGUGCUCUCAAUGAGUCGAGUUGUUUGGGAAUGCAGCUCUAAAUGGGUGGUAAAUUCCAUCUAAAGCUAAAUAUUGGCGAGAAACCGAUAGCGCACAAGUACCGUGAGGGAAAGAUGAAAAGAACUUUGAAAAGAGAGUUAAACAGUACGUGAAAUUGUUGAAAGGGAAACGCUUGAAGUCAG